UACGAAGGGGGCUAGCGUUGCUCGGAAUCACUGGGCGUAAAGCGCACGUAGGCGGAUUGUUAAGUCAGGGGUGAAAUCCUGGAGCUCAACUCCAGAACUGCCUUUGAUACUGGCGAUCUUGAGUCCGGGAGAGGUGAGUGGAACUGCGAGUGUAGAGGUGAAAUUCGUAGAUAUCUGGAGGAACACCGGUGGCGAAGGCGGCAUCCUGGACCGGCAUUGACGCUGAGGCGCGAAAGCCAGGGGAGCAAACGGG
Molecule: ribosomal RNA, 253 nt
Filed under: uncultured bacterium
Lineage: Bacteria
Description: partial 16S ribosomal RNA
Rfam family: Bacterial small subunit ribosomal RNA
Source: RNAcentral